AACGCGAAGAACCUUACCUGGGCUUGACAUACACCGGACCGGCGUAGAGAUACGUCUUCCCUUGUGGCCGGUGUACAGGUGGUGCAUGGUUGUCGUCAGCUCGUGUCGUGAAAUGUUGGGUUAAGUCCCGCAACGAGCGCAACCCUUGUCUUAUGUUGCCAGCACGUGAUGGUGGGGACUCAUGAGAGACUGCCGGGGUCAACUCGGAGGAAGGUGGGGAUGACGUCAAAUCAUCAUGCCCCUUAUGUCCAGGGCUUCACACAUGCUACAAUGGUCGGUACAGCAGGUCGCGAACUCGUGAGAGUAAGCCAAUCCUUCAAAGCCGGCCUCAGUUCGGAUUGGGGUCUGCAACUCGACCCCAUGAAGUCGGAGUCGCUAGUAAUCGCAGAUCAGCAACGCUGCGGUGAAUACGUUCCCGGGCCUUGUACACACCG
Molecule: ribosomal RNA, 434 nt
Filed under: uncultured bacterium
Lineage: Bacteria
Description: bacterial SSU rRNA
Rfam family: Bacterial small subunit ribosomal RNA
Source: RNAcentral